Mauremys reevesii (Reeves's turtle) is the source of this 788-nucleotide long non-coding RNA. RefSeq lists it as uncharacterized. The record is from RefSeq and is a predicted model, not a curated record. NCBI's taxonomy places the organism in Eukaryota, Metazoa, Chordata, Testudines, Geoemydidae. The transcript is spliced from 3 exons.
UCUGGCAGCACAAGAACUGUCUUCCAGGCCUAUGCAGGACUCACUCUCCCUGUACAGGUAGUGAUUGGCAAACACCAACCGUGGUGUCCUCAGAGCGUUCCCAGCCGUGUCCAGUCCCUUAUCGAGUGAACACUCACAGAAUUACCAGGCUUCUUAUUCCCAAAGGAAAAGUACACACCAGCUUGGCUGGCCCUGACCCUUGCCUGUGCUGGUGAGAAUCCAUUUGUGCAAACACGCUUACUGACUGUGAUGAGACUACGCAGAAGACCAAGGCAUGAACCAGGCUCCAUCGUAUUGAUGCUGCUCUAGCAAAAGAUAUGACUGUGCCCACCUAAUAACCUAGGACCAACACAACUACAACAACGCUGCAUACAGCAAGGGACAGAUGGUCACUCAUCUUCCAACAAUCUGGUCACAGCUUUACAGUGUUACAAUGGGAGUGUGUACUUUGGAUUGGAACUUCAUGUUAUUGUACCACAACUAUUACUGAAGGAUUUUGGACGUUAAUACUUUCUUUCUUUUUCUUUCCGUUUUUCUUUUUCUUUUUUUUGCUACGCAAGGCAUUCCUUCAUGCCGGGCAGUUGCUUUUUCAAAUGGAAAGUGAGCACCAUAGAAUUAUUGCAAUUUUCAGUGGCGUGCCACCGGCUUAGGACUGGAAUAACCCAGCUUUGAAUCAGGCCUCUUGUCUCUUGAUGGUGGGUGGACUGAUCCAUUGUACUGUUAACAUUAUUUUGUACUGAACCCAGCCAGCAAGAGGCAUUCUGCAGAACUGCAGUAAACAUCAUAGA